UAAAUGCAAGAUAAAUCCAACAAAUAGUGAAUCAAAAUCAACAAUAAAAAUUAUAAACAUAAAACCAAAAAAUAAAAAGAAAAAAUCUUGAAGCAAGCACUUGUUUAUCACUAUUUUCAACUAGUUUAGAAACUUCAAAGGGUAAACAUAUAAAGCCACAAUGAACUCAUCAUCUUUGUUGACAUAUCUGGAUCUUGAAGAGUCACAAUCUUCAUGCAAGACAAUCACUAUUGAAUGACAAGGUGGAGUCACUGGAAUUACCGGUAGAGCCUGCUCAUCAUCUUCAUUGAAGGAGGGGCGGGCUUCGUUGGUGUCGCAAGGGAGCAGGCUCCUUUACUGGUGUCACAAGGGAUGAAGCUUCGUUACUGUUGUAAGGGAGAAAGCUACGUUGGCGUCGCAAGGGAGGAUACUUCAUUGGUGUUGCAGGGAACGAGGCUCUUUGUUGUUCUCUCAAGUUAGUCGAUAAUGGAAGAAGAAAGGAGCAUUUGG
Molecule: unclassified non-coding RNA, 489 nt
Filed under: Hevea brasiliensis (rubber tree)
Lineage: Eukaryota; Viridiplantae; Streptophyta; Magnoliopsida; Malpighiales; Euphorbiaceae
Source: RNAcentral